CUGACAUGCGUGCGAGUCGACGGGUUCUGAAACCUGGGAUGCGCAAGGAAGCUGACGAGUAGGAGGCCCUCACGGGCCGCACCGCUGGCCGACCCUGAUCUUCUGUGAAGGGUUCGAGUUGGAGCACGCCUGUCGGGACCCGAAAGUUGGUGAACUAUGCCUGAGCGGGGCGAAGCCAGAGGAAACUCUGGUGGAGGCUCGAAGCGAUACUGACGUGCAAAUCGUUCGUCUGACUUGGGUAUAGGGGCGAAAGACUAAUCGAACCAUCUAGUAGCUGG
Molecule: ribosomal RNA, 278 nt
Filed under: Triticum aestivum (bread wheat)
Lineage: Eukaryota; Viridiplantae; Streptophyta; Magnoliopsida; Poales; Poaceae
Description: rRNA LSU_rRNA_eukarya
Rfam family: Eukaryotic large subunit ribosomal RNA
Source: Rfam by way of RNAcentral